RNAcentral lists this ribosomal RNA (253 nucleotides) under uncultured bacterium. Its description in RNAcentral is "partial 16S ribosomal RNA". It matches the Rfam family "Bacterial small subunit ribosomal RNA", at positions 524 to 776 of the family's 1533-position model. The record is from RNAcentral.
UACGGGGGGGGCAAGCGUUGUUCGGAAUUACUGGGCGUAAAGGGUUUGUAGGUGGCUUGCUAAGUCAGACGUGAAAUCCCUCAGCUUAACUGGGGAACUGCGUCUGAGACUGGCAAGCUUGAGUGCAGGAGAGGAACGCGGAAUUCCAGGUGUAGCGGUGAAAUGCGUAGAUAUCUGGAGGAAUACCGGUGGCGAAGGCGGCAUCCUGGACCGGCAUUGACGCUGAGGAGCGAAAGCCAGGGGAGCAAACGGG